This 253-nucleotide ribosomal RNA is filed under the name uncultured bacterium. Its description in RNAcentral is "partial 16S ribosomal RNA". It matches the Rfam family "Bacterial small subunit ribosomal RNA", at positions 524 to 776 of the family's 1533-position model. The record is from RNAcentral.
UACGUAGGUGGCAAGCGUUGUCCGGAUUUACUGGGCGUAAAGGGCGUGCAGGCGGUUUGUUAAGUGCAGGGUGAAAGCUCCCGGCUCAACUGGGAGAGGUCCUUGCAUACUGGCAAACUCGAGGGAGGCAGAGGAAAGUGGAAUUCCCGGUGUAGUGGUGAUAUGCGUAGAUAUCAGGAGGAACACCGGUGGUGUAGACGGCUUACUGGACCACGACUGACACUGAGGCACGAAAGCGUGGGUAGCAAACAGG